GAUGAACGCUGGCGGCGUGCUUAACACAUGCAAGUCGAACGGAGAUAUUAAAAAUGAAGUAAGGAGCUUGCUUCGGACGGAAUGAUUAAUAUCUUAGUGGCGGACGGGUGAGUAACGCGUGGAUAACCUGCCUUAUACUGGGGGAUAACACUUAGAAAUAGGUGCUAAUACCGCAUAAGCGCACAGCACCGCAUGGUGCAGGGGUAAAAACUCCGGUGGUAUGAGAUGGACCCGCGUCUGAUUAGGUAGUUGGUGGGGUAACGGCCUACCAAGCCGACGAUCAGUAGCCGACCUGAGAGGGUGACCGGCCACAUUGGGACUGAGACACGGCCCAAACUCCUACGGGAGGCAGCAGUGGGGAAUAUUGCACAAUGGGGGAAACCCUGAUGCAGCGACGCCGCGUGAGCGAUGAAGUAUUUCGGUAUGUAAAGCUCUAUCAGCAGGGAAGAAAAUGACGGUACCUGACUAAGAAGCACCGGCUAAGUACGUGCCAGCAGCCGCAGUAA
This 506-nucleotide ribosomal RNA is filed under the name uncultured bacterium. RNAcentral describes it as "partial 16S ribosomal RNA". It matches the Rfam family "Bacterial small subunit ribosomal RNA", at positions 28 to 523 of the family's 1533-position model. The record is from RNAcentral.